ACCCAAGCAUCAGGUCCAUGACUUAGAAUCCCUUGAGAAGAGGUUGGUACAAGUUCCUCUCAGAUCUGGAGUUGAUCUGAGGUCGUUUGAGGCAUGGAUGAGAUCUCCAUCAACAAAUCUACAAGAAAGGCUGCAGCAGGAUAGAUCUACAAGGUCUGUCUCCAUCUACCUUCUUCCCUAUCUAGAAUAUCCCAAUUUGAGAUCUAUAAAUUGGAAGAUAUUGGUCCGAGCCUGAUCUAGUUGGGUACCAGAUCUUAAAUUUUUUAGAGAUGAUUUCAGAGGCGUUCUUCAUCUGGAAC
RNAcentral lists this long non-coding RNA (299 nucleotides) under Elaeis guineensis (African oil palm). RNAcentral describes it as "long non-coding RNA (EGUI_LNC043940)". Lineage: Eukaryota; Viridiplantae; Streptophyta; Magnoliopsida; Arecales; Arecaceae. The record is from RNAcentral.